Colias croceus (clouded yellow) is the source of this 3552-nucleotide RNA transcript. It is a transcript of the gene named DET1 homolog, with no coding region annotated. Lineage: Eukaryota; Metazoa; Arthropoda; Insecta; Lepidoptera; Pieridae. The record is from RefSeq and is a predicted model, not a curated record. The transcript has 8 exons.
UUUUCUAAUUUGUAGUAAUUUGCAAUCAACAAAUUGUAAAUAUUGUGUUUAUUUGAAAUAAAUUAUUAAAUUUUGAAAAUAAUGAUCAUACGAAAUUAAUAGAAAUCUCAAGGUUCAUUGCUUAACCAUUCAAUUUGUUUUCAUUGCAUGUCAAUAUGAGUACUACAAGUACAUCACAAAAUGUUUAUUACGAAGACGUUCCUUCAGGAAAACUAAACGAAGGCGAAUUUUUUUGUACAGAAAAAAUAGUGCCAAGGAAAAUAAAACCCCAAAAUAUAGUAAUAAGACUUAUGAACAGGGAAAUAUAUGGCUCUCGGAAACCGGGUUCACACUUUCAUGUUGUGCGGGAAUUUUAUCAAAAUGUUUUUCCAAAUUUAACUAUUGUUAAUGUAGAGAAACCACCAUGUUUCUUAAGAAAGUUUAGUCCUGAUGGGAAACACUUUAUAGCUUUUUCAGCGGAUCAAACAUCACUUGAGAUAUAUGAAUAUAGAGGUGCUGCUGCAGCAGGAGAUUUAGUAGCUGGUUACCCAUCAGAUUUAUUAAAUGCUGAUGCAGAUGCUCACCACAGAAUUAGGACACAUAUAUUCUACAGGUUUUUUAAGCCAAAAUUUACUGUUAAUGUGUGCCAACAAAGAAUCACUGGUAGACAAUUGCGGAAUGCAGGUCAGUUGCCUUUUAUGGAACAACAAUUAAACAGAGAGUGUAGCCUGUUCACUGAAGACGGAAGGUAUGUUAUUGUGGGGUCAGCUGCACACAUUCCUGAAGAUUUACGCCCACAUUUCUAUCACAUACAUAGUAAUAAUGAAGCUGUCACCCCAACUAUAAGGUCAGCAUUAGAAGAUUAUUCAUUACAUUUAGUUGACUUACAUCAUGGCAAAUUGUGUGACACAAAACACUUCAGGACUGAUAAAAUUUAUCUUUCACACAAUCAAGGAAUUUAUUUAUAUAAAGAAGUCUUAGCUGUUCUCUCUGUGCAGCACCAGACAAUUCAUUUAUUUCAAAUUGUUGAAGGGAUGUUAAUAGAAAUAAGAAAAAUCGGAAGAUUCUGCUAUGAUGAUGACCCCUUUCUUGUUGGUUCCGUAUUUGCGCCAAUUAUGAAUGAGAGACCUUUUCAUGAAGAGACAAUAAAUAGUUUAAAACAUAGACUUCUAGUGUUCUUAUUUAAAAGAGCCAAAACAAUAAGUGACGAAACUAAUGAUCCAUUGGAACUUAGAAAAUUUUAUAAAUAUUUUGAUAUGUUUAAAAGUUUAAGAAUGUGGAAGAUGCAAUUAUUGGAUGAGGAUCAUCUGUUUAUAAAAUAUGCAAGUGAGGAGGUUGUAACACUGCGAGUUGCUGAACCAAACAGUCAGUCCUCAUUUUUUGUCAUAUAUAACAUAAGUGAGAGUAAAAUAUUAGAAGUAUUUGAAAAUACUUCAGAAGGGCUGCUGCAAUUAUUUGAAAAUUACUGUGAUUGCUUUAGAAAUGCUAGACUAUGUGCCGAUUCUCAAUUUACUUGUUCUCCAUCAAAUAAUUUGUAUGCAAGGUUAACACAGCAAAGGUUCAAACAAACUAUAGUAAGAGCUAUCUAUGGAGGUCGUACAGAGGCAACUAAAAGGAUUUUGGCACAGUUACCCAUUAGUGCACAGUCUUACAGUGGCUCUCCAUACCUUGAUCUUGGUUUAUUUAGUUAUGAUGAUAAAUGGGUAUCUGUUAUGGAAAGGCCGAAAGCAUAUGGAGAAUAUCCGAUAAGGUUUUACGCGCGAGAUUCUGGACUCUUAAAAUUUAAAAUCUAUGCAGGAGUAUUAGGACAAUCGGUACCAGCAAGUGCAAGAAGACUCGUCGCAUUUACCUUCCAUCCAACUGAUCCCUUUGCCAUAAGUGUGCAAAGGACAAAUUCUGAAUACAUAGUGAAUUUCCACAUUAGAAAUGCUGUUUUUAGUUGACAUCCUUUCAUUUAUGUUCUGUUUGAUGUCACUCAUACAACAUUAUAGGUGAAUAUAUUUUGGUUACAUGCAGCUGUUGUAAUAAAAUUUGUACAUAAUAUAUGACUGGAAAAUGGUAUAUGAUUAUAUGUAUGUGUAUUGCUUCUAUAAGUACUACUAAUACUUUUGUUAAAAGCGAAUUGCAAAUAUAAAAGAACAAAUGUUUUUAGUUACUUUGCCAAAGUAAGUUUAACAGAGACUAAAUGUAUUGUUAUUUUGCAACUGAAUUACAAAUAUUGGUUGUUUCGUUAAUUUUAAGGAAAGCAAUGUGAUUACAAAUUAUUUUCUAAGUAUUAACUAUUAAGUACACUUCAAAAACUCGCUAAAAUGUGUAUAAUAGAUGGAACUAAAACCUUCUUUUACUAUGUACAUGACAUCCUAGUGGAAUGUCUAAUAAUGACAAUAAUAAUAAAAGUCAAGUUUAGAAAAUGGCCCCAUCUACACAAAAAAAUUAAAAAUACACAGUUUAAAAACAUACAUAAUGUAAACACAACAGUUCUCAUUAUAAUUUUCAUAGUAAUGCCAAUGAUUAUUUGGUCCCACAAUGCAGUACAAUCAGCCAUUCAGCAAUUAUUUUUUUAAUGAACAAUGUCAUACAUAUCCCUUGCCGUUUCAGUUACCCAAUGUAGUAGGAGAAGGUGAUGUGAUUUCCCAACAGUCCCCAAAUGGUAGUGUUCAAUUAUAUUUCAUACCUGUGGUCCGUCGAGAUCGAGGUUUUUCCUUCCCACAAUAUCCCACUUUCCCAGCAAACAAUCCCAUAUCAUGGCCUGUUGCUCCCGAGGCUUGGCUAGUGAGAAGAAUAUCUAGUCCUGUAUUACCGAACUUUAUUCAAGAACAAUUUACAAAUACAAAUGAUCCAUUCUUGAAAUCUUAUUAUGCUACAAAAGGAAUUCUCGAUAUUUCACCCCAAAACGGCUACUAUCAAAAGUUUCAUAAUGAUAAUGUGACUUCGACAACAGAUAUACAUUAUUUUUAUCCAAAGCUAAGACAAAGCAAUUUCAAAUAUUCUACAGGCGUACAAGUGGACAUUCCGCCAAAAGUCCAUAAAUAUACUCAAUAUGAAACUCAACAAUUUCCUGGUCAAUCACCGAGCAUAAAAGUGUUACGGCUGAAUAAAAAUGUGCGUCAUUACACAGCAGACACUACUGAAAGUGCCAUGUCAAUAGAUGAAAAACAUGAUAAACAACCCUUACAUAAACAUAAGAGAGGUAAAUCUUUGAAAAAAAAUACAAAAUCAACAGACACUCCGCACCCAGCUAAACAAACCUGUAAAUGCAAUAAGACCGAUAAGAAAAUAACGACUUAUUCAGAUCAAGCGUGCGGUUGUAUCGAUACAGAUGGCCGAGAAACACAGACCAAAGUAGAGAUGGCUAGUCAGAGUUCCUCUAAAUGCGAAUUAUCAGAUGUGAACACGGCCACUUCGUAUGAAAGUUGCUGUCAAGUAUGCAAACAUUGCAUAAAUGACUCCACUACCGACUUUUGUGAAUAAAUAAAUAAAAAAUCAGUCAGUUCUUCUUAUAAUACAUUUUAUUUCUUAGUACGACAUGUAUUUACAUUGAAUAGUACAGUAAUAAACAAAAACAAAACGAGA